This 406-nucleotide ribosomal RNA is filed under the name uncultured bacterium. RNAcentral describes it as "partial 16S ribosomal RNA". It matches the Rfam family "Bacterial small subunit ribosomal RNA", at positions 30 to 526 of the family's 1533-position model. The record is from RNAcentral.
AUUGAACGCUGGCGGCAGGCCUAACACAUGCAAGUCGAACGAGUGGCGGACGGGUGAGUCAUGCUUGGGAAACUGCCUGAUGGCGGGGGAUAACUACUGGAAACGGUAGCUAAUACCGCAUACCAUCAGAUGUGCCCAGAGGGGAUUAGAUUGUUGGUGGGUUAACGGCUCACCAAGCCGACGAUCCCUAGCUGGUCUGAGAGGAUGACCAGCACCACUGGAACUGAGACACGGUCCAGACUCCUACGGUAGGCAUCAGUGGGUAAUAUUGCACAAUGGGCGCAAGCCUGAUGCAGCCAUGCCGCGUGGAUGAAGAAGGCCUUCGGGUUGUAAAGUACUUUCAGCGGGGAGGCGUUACCCGCAGAAGAAGCACCGGCUAACUCCGUGCCAGCCGCGGCGGUAAUAC